This 253-nucleotide ribosomal RNA is filed under the name uncultured bacterium. RNAcentral describes it as "partial 16S ribosomal RNA". It matches the Rfam family "Bacterial small subunit ribosomal RNA", at positions 524 to 776 of the family's 1533-position model. The record is from RNAcentral.
UACAGAGGUCUCAAGCGUUGUUCGGAUUCAUUGGGCGUAAAGGGUGCGUAGGCGGCGCGGUAAGUCGGGUGUGAAAUCUUGGAGCUUAACUCCGAAACUGCAUUCGAUACUGCCGUGCUUGAGGACUGGAAAGGAGACUGGAAUUUACGGUGUAGCGGUGAAAUGCGUAGAUAUCGUAAGGAAGACCAGUGGCGAAGGCGGGUCUCUGGACAGUUCCUGACGCUGAGGUGCGAAAGCGUGGGGAGCAAACAGG